UUGUUAUUCAUCAUGAGAACUUCCGUGGUUGUACUUCUACUGUUGCUGACGCUUACGGCUUCUCAAGCCCAACGGAGCUGUUUGGCACACAAUCAACCAUGUACUGGUGACCCGCCGUGUUGUCAUGGUUACGCCUGUAUCCACCAGGAUGCCGGAUGGAAAUGUGGCUACGCGCAAGACUCAAACAGGCUUACUUAGAUGUAACCGGAAGAAAACAAAAAAUCAUUACCAUUCAUGCUGUAGAUAUUAUGUAAGAUGUAAAUAAAAAAAUAAAAUUCCAUAACAAUGAA
Macrosteles quadrilineatus (aster leafhopper) is the source of this 290-nucleotide long non-coding RNA. RefSeq lists it as uncharacterized. The transcript has 2 exons. Lineage: Eukaryota; Metazoa; Arthropoda; Insecta; Hemiptera; Cicadellidae. The record is from RefSeq and is a predicted model, not a curated record.